Non-coding RNA from Elaeis guineensis (African oil palm), 1447 nucleotides. Lineage: Eukaryota; Viridiplantae; Streptophyta; Magnoliopsida; Arecales; Arecaceae. The record is from RefSeq and is a predicted model, not a curated record.
GGUCAUGUACUGACACCUUUGUCCCAUCGUCCCGCACCCUGCCAUCUCUCGUUCCACCUCGUCCCUUGCGAUGGGCGCGGCCACCCCCAUCCCAGCGCUUCGCUGCUGCUCCCAUCGGACGACGCCUCUCCUCCUCUCCUCGUCUCCUCAUGUGCUCUCUUCACGAACCCUAACCUCUCGCCACGCCCACGGCUCGAUUCUCAGACUGGGAUUCGCCGCCCCUCCUCUGCCGUGGAUCGGUCUGAAGCACAUCGGCGUCUCAUUCCCGCGAGGUUAUGGCCAGAGGGAAAAGAAGGGUAAAUAUCGUGGUAAAGUUGUUUAUGCUUCUUUAUUUGGAGUUGGAGCCCCCGAAGCUCUGGUUAUUGGAGUGGUGGCUUUGCUAGUCUUUGGUCCUAAAGGACUAGCUGAGGUGGCACGCUACUUGGGAAAGACUUUGCGUGCUUUCCAGCCAACACUAAGAGAGCUUCAGGAAGUGUCAAGGGAAUUCAAGAGCACCCUUGAACGGGAGAUAGGACUUGAUGAAGUUGCAUCUUCUACAAAUUACAAGAGCAAGCCCACUCCAUAUGUGAAUGAAAAUCAACAAGCUGUAGUUGACACAAAUGGCAAGCCUUCGGCUGGACCAUACACCAGUGAAGAGCUUCUGAAAAUUACAGAAGACCAGCUGGCUGCAUCUACUACCAGAACCCAAGCAGAGGUACCCCCUUUUGAAGAACAACCAGAAGCAGCAGCAUCAACAUCAGAAGUUGCAGCUGACAAUCCCUCAGAACCUGCAGCUUCUGCUGCUCCAGAAGCUGCUGCUCAAGUACCUUCAUAUGAGAAGGCAGAGAAUGAUGGCUAAUAAUUUCCACAAGCAUCAUCAUGGCAAGCAACUGGUCAAGAGGACAACAGUUCUUCCAUAUUAAAUACCUGAGCUAAAAGUUAUGAAGAACAAAAUCACGGAUGUUGCAUCAAAUGGAGCAUGGCAAUUACUUUUCAGAGACAUCAAUGUACAUGCCAAUGAUGCCAUAGCAGAUGUGGGCUAAAUAUACCAUCAUACAUUCUGCCUAUCAAAGUAAGAUCAAAUGACCGUUGUUCAAUUUUAACAUAUGCAUCGUGUGAAAAUGUAGCAAACGCGGUUUGAGUGUACAAAAAUGGGAUUCUGUCUUCAUGAUUUUAUAAUCCCUUAUAAUACUACUAAGCAAACUGGAUCCUUAGUUUCAGCAUUGCCAGUUCUCCAUUCCACGAUUUUCCAGCGAAUAUAAUACUGUUCAUCUGGUACAGCUGCAACUCUGAAACUUUACAGAUACAAAGAAAACUCUAUCCGCGGUAACAUAAAGCUCUAUUUGUGGCUCUGAAAGACACUUCUGCAAUUAGAUGAUGGCUUCUUGACACCAAGAAAUCGUAUUGAAAAAAUAACUUCUAUGGUUUGAAACAUUUCAUUUGAUGGUAAUAAUAUAUUAUUUCUUGA